Molecule: long non-coding RNA, 303 nt
Organism: Suricata suricatta (meerkat)
Lineage: Eukaryota; Metazoa; Chordata; Mammalia; Carnivora; Herpestidae
Exons: 2
Source: RefSeq, a predicted model, not a curated record
AGACGAGAGCUUGAAUUUCAAAAUAUCUCCCCUCUAUUGCAGAUGACAAUACUGAAAAAGCACAAAGACAUUUAUUAACCGGCCUGGAAUCAAAUACUUAUUCUACUCGGGAAGGAAACGUCCGGGAUUGGAAGGGACCUGAAGAGAUCUUCAAGCCGCGCCUUACAGCAAGUCCAAAAGAAAUGCAACAAAAGGAAACGAAAGGAAACAAAACAAAAUAUAGUCUCCAAAAAUUUCUCCUUUCAGAUCAAUUUCUCUUUUGGAAAACUGGAGAAGUCAAAUGACUAAAAGUUGCAUUCUGUG